This 512-nucleotide ribosomal RNA is filed under the name uncultured bacterium. Its description in RNAcentral is "partial 16S ribosomal RNA". It matches the Rfam family "Bacterial small subunit ribosomal RNA", at positions 28 to 523 of the family's 1533-position model. The record is from RNAcentral.
GACGAACGUUGGCGGCGUGCCUAAUACAUGCAAGUCGAGCGGAUUGAUGGGAGCUUGCUCCCUGAUAUCAGCGGCGGACGGGUGAGUAACACGUGGGCAACCUGCCUAUAAGACUGGGAUAACUUCGGGAAACCGGAGCUAAUACCGGAUAAUCCCUUUCUUCUCAUGAGGAAAGGCUGAAAGAUGGUUUACGCUAUCACUUAUAGAUGGGCCCGCGGCGCAUUAGCUAGUUGGUGAGGUAACGGCUCACCAAGGCAACGAUGCGUAGCCGACCUGAGAGGGUGAUCGGACACACUGGGACUGAGACACGGCCCAGACUCCUACGGGAGGCAGCAGUAGGGAAUCUUCCGCAAUGGACGAAAGUCUGACGGAGCAACGCCGCGUGAGUGAUGAAGGUUUUCGGAUCGUAAAACUCUGUUGUUAGGGAAGAACAAGUACGAGAGUAACUGCGCGUACCUUGACGGUACCUAACCAGAAAGCCACGGCUAACUACGUGCCAGCCGCCGCUGUAA